Long non-coding RNA from Aphis gossypii (cotton aphid), 1462 nucleotides. RefSeq lists it as uncharacterized. The record is from RefSeq and is a predicted model, not a curated record. NCBI's taxonomy places the organism in Eukaryota, Metazoa, Arthropoda, Insecta, Hemiptera, Aphididae. The transcript has 3 exons.
CUUAAUAUACCUACCUACAAAUAUAAUAUAAACUAUGUUAUAUUACAUAACCGUCAAGGCGUCAACCAUAGCUCGUUCCUAUGUUGUUUUUGAGAAUCAUCUGGUUGAGUAUUCAGAACAAUAAAGAAACGUAUCCCCUACUAUUCAAAGAAAAGUGAAAAAAGAAGCAAUGAUUAAGCCUAAUGUUGCUGUUAGUAAUGGUAUUAGUCAGUGGCGGUUAAAUGAUUUUGUCAUGGGGGAGGAUGAGACUGAUUUUUUAAUAUGCACUACUAUUAAUCAUUAAAAUAUAAUUUAUGGUUAUGCCUAAUAUCAAUUUUUUUAAAUUCAGCACUUCAUUGGAGGUUAUAUUUAUAAUUCCACGAUGAACAGCCAUAGUGGCCAAACCAUUGAUACGACUCUAGAAUAAUAAAAUUACACAAUUAAAAUAUAUAUAUAUACAUAUAUUAACAUAAUGUACUAAUAUACAAAGCAUUAUAUUGACAUUUCAAAGAUUCUUAUAAGUUAUAAUUUUACUAUAAAAUAAAUUAACAAAACCUACAAAGUUAGUGUAUAAUAUAUUUAUAUUUGAACUGUUAAUUUAAUACUUAUUCCAAUAUUAUAGGUUAAUAUAUUAUAUUAUUUUAUAAUAAGUACAGCAAACUUACCUCCCCCAUAGUAUUUUAACUUACCUCUCCCAUAGUAUUUCUCAAAUAUGUUUUCAACCGUUUUAUUAAUACAUUUCGGCCGAUGGCCCGGUCAAGGGUGUGUUGUUAUUGAAUAUUCACGAUCACCGAGCUGGGUAAUUCCCGUAAAUUUUGUAUAUUAAGCAACUAAUUACUAAAUAUUAAUAAUAAUAACAGCCUUCUUACUAGAACGAGUCUAGAAUCAAGAUAAUAAUAAUAUACGCUCAUAAGCGUUAUUUUCAGAAAAAUUAAAACAAAAUGUAAUACAUUAGCAUUAUAGUACAAUAAACAUAUAUGUAAUUGUUAUAAAUAUUAAGGAAAAAAAGCCAAGGGGGGAUCUAUCCCCCUCACCCCCCCCCCCGUUUGACCGCCACUGGUAUUAGUUCACUGUUGUGAUGGCAAACAGAUUUGUUACAAUUCUGGCAUGCCGCAUCAUAAGUUAUUUAUCAAAAAAUAUUAAUCGAUAUUCAAUGGUUUUAAUGUCAUAAUAAAUUAAUAUAACAGUAGUAUUUAAUUUUUUAAUUUUUAUGAUAGACAGAGUUAGAUGCUUGUAUCACAACAUUACGUAAUAAUAUUGUGGGCAGUGGAAGAUCAUUUAUAGAAUUAGAUAGCCAGAAUCUAUAAUAAUAUAAAAAUUAUAAACUAUAAUACCCAUUACCCAAACACAUAAUAUUAUGUGAUUGUAUUUAGUAUGUACCUAAGUAUGCAUACGGAGUGUUCCAAUGUUCUACAAGUAUUUUUCCCUACAAAUUUAUAAUUUUUAAUUAAAUUUUUUCAGCAUUGAUCAAUUAUGCACAUAU